This 200-nucleotide long non-coding RNA is filed under the name Setaria viridis. RNAcentral's name for it is "long non-coding RNA (SVIR_LNC008085)". Lineage: Eukaryota; Viridiplantae; Streptophyta; Magnoliopsida; Poales; Poaceae. The record is from RNAcentral.
UCGAAUCCAGUUCCCAUGUUGGUCGAGGUUUCUUUAUCUUGUGGAUUCUUUUCACCUCAGAUAUGUGUAAUCUGACCUUGUGAUUUCUUUUUGUCACCUUUCAGGCUUCAGGAGGAAGGGUGCAAGGAACACAACACUGAGGCAGAUUCAAGGGUGCCCACAUUGGCAUCGUCAUCGACUGGUUCCUGCUCUCCCCCCCC